RNAcentral lists this ribosomal RNA (253 nucleotides) under uncultured bacterium. RNAcentral describes it as "partial 16S ribosomal RNA". It matches the Rfam family "Bacterial small subunit ribosomal RNA", at positions 524 to 776 of the family's 1533-position model. The record is from RNAcentral.
UACGAAGGGGGCUAGCGUUGCUCGGAAUCACUGGGCGUAAAGCGCACGUAGGCGGAUUGCUAAGUCAGGGGUGAAAUCCUGGAGCUCAACUCCAGAACUGCCUUUGAUACUGGCGAUCUUGAGUCCGGGAGAGGUGAGUGGAACUGCGAGUGUAGAGGUGAAAUUCGUAGAUAUUCGGAAGAACACCAGUGGCGAAGGCGGCCACCUGGACGGUAACUGACGCUGAGACGCGAAAGCGUGGGGAGCAAACAGG